CUGGACCUUCAUAGUCUCUUGUUGUUCGGCUGGGCAUGUCAAGUUCCAGUAAUACAAUAUUCUCUGCCCUGUACCGAGCCUCUGGACGAAUCAUCAUGGACGUCCUGGCAUGCUGGCUCAGUGGCCUUUUGUAUCCUACAGCAGACACUGGCCUUUUCAUCAUUUGCUGGUUAUCCAGACGGGUUAUGGGGUGCAGUUUCCACUGGUCUUCCUCUUCAUCAAAGAAUGACCUGUUCAUGAUCUUAUUCUUUUCUUCCAAAGGAAUAAAAUUUUCAAUAAUCAGGUGCUUCAGCUUUAGUUCCCUC
RNAcentral lists this long non-coding RNA (305 nucleotides) under Gallus gallus (chicken). The record is from RNAcentral. Lineage: Eukaryota; Metazoa; Chordata; Aves; Galliformes; Phasianidae.